Molecule: transfer RNA, 85 nt
Filed under: Lentisphaerae bacterium GWF2_49_21
Lineage: Bacteria; Pseudomonadati; Lentisphaerota
Also listed under: 1 other name
Description: tRNA-Leu
Rfam family: tRNA
About the family: Transfer RNA (tRNA) molecules are approximately 80 nucleotides in length. Their secondary structure includes four short double-helical elements and three loops (D, anti-codon, and T loops). Further hydrogen bonds mediate the characteristic L-shaped molecular structure. tRNAs have two regions of fundamental functional importance: the anti-codon, which is responsible for specific mRNA codon recognition, and the 3' end, to which the tRNAs corresponding amino acid is attached (by aminoacyl-tRNA synthetases). tRNAs cope with the degeneracy of the genetic code in two manners: having more than one tRNA (with a specific anti-codon) for a particular amino acid; and 'wobble' base-pairing, i.e. permitting non-standard base-pairing at the 3rd anti-codon position.
Source: RNAcentral
GCGCGGGUGGCGAAAUUGGCAGACGCGCCAGACUUAGGAUCUGGUGGGGCAACCCAUGGGGGUUCAAAUCCCCCCUCGCGCACCA